This 493-nucleotide ribosomal RNA is filed under the name uncultured bacterium. Its description in RNAcentral is "bacterial SSU rRNA". It matches the Rfam family "Bacterial small subunit ribosomal RNA", at positions 903 to 1397 of the family's 1533-position model. The record is from RNAcentral.
AAAUGAAUAGACGGGGGCCCGCACAAGCGGAGGAACAUGUGGUUUAAUUCGAUGAUACGCGAGGAACCUUACCUGGGCUUAAAUGGAGAACGACCGGUGCCGAAAGGUGCCUUCCAGCAAUGGCGGUCUUCAAGGUGCUGCAUGGUUGUCGUCAGCUCGUGCCGUGAGGUGUCGGUUUAAGUACCAUAACGAGCGCAACCCUCAUUGUUAGUUGCCAGCGGGUAAAGCCGGGGACUCUAACGAAACUGCUCCGGUAACGGAGAGGAAGGUGGGGAUGAGGUCAAAUCAGCACGGCCCUUACGUCCAGGGCUACACACGUGUUACAAUGGCCGGUACAGAGGGCAGCUACCACGCGAGUGGAUGCCAAUCUCGAAAACCGGUCUCAGUUCGGAUUGAUGUCUGCAACUCGACAUCAUGAAGUUGGAUUCGCUAGUAAUCGCGCAUCAGCCACGGCGCGGUGAAUACGUUCCCGGGCCUUGUACACACCGCCCGU